This 488-nucleotide ribosomal RNA is filed under the name uncultured bacterium. RNAcentral describes it as "partial 16S ribosomal RNA". It matches the Rfam family "Bacterial small subunit ribosomal RNA", at positions 355 to 858 of the family's 1533-position model. The record is from RNAcentral.
UGGGGAAUAUUGCACAAUGGGCGAAAGCCUGAUGCAGCAACGCCGCGUGAGUGAUGAAGGUCUUCGGAUUGUAAAGCUCUGUCUUUUGGGACGAUAAUGACGGUACCAAAGGAGGAAGCCACGGCUAACUACGUGCCAGCAGCCGCGGUAAUACGUAGGUGGCGAGCGUUGUCCGGAUUUACUGGGCGUAAAGGGUGCGUAGGCGGAUGUUUAAGUGAGAUGUGAAAUACCCGGGCUUAACUUGGGUGCUGCAUUUCAAACUGGAUAUCUAGAGUGCAGGAGAGGAGAAUGGAAUUCCUAGUGUAGCGGUGAAAUGCGUAGAGAUUAGGAAGAACACCAGUGGCGAAGGCGAUUCUCUGGACUGUAACUGACGCUGAGGCACGAAAGGCGUGGGUAGCAAACAGGAUUAGAUACCCUGGUAGUCCACGCCGUAAACGAUGAGUACUAGGUGUAGGAGGUAUCGACCCCUUCUGUGCCGCAGUAAACAC